Molecule: ribosomal RNA, 700 nt
Filed under: Nocardioides sp. V4.BE.05
Lineage: Bacteria; Bacillati; Actinomycetota; Actinomycetes; Propionibacteriales; Nocardioidaceae
Description: bacterial SSU rRNA
Rfam family: Bacterial small subunit ribosomal RNA
Source: RNAcentral
CUCCUACGGGAGGCAGCAGUGGGGAAUAUUGGACAAUGGGCGGAAGCCUGAUCCAGCAACGCCGCGUGAGGGAUGACGGCCUUCGGGUUGUAAACUUCUUUCAGUAGGGACGAAGCGCAAGUGACGGUACCCACAGAAGAAGCACCGGCCAACUAACNGNCAGCAGCCGCGGUAAUACGUAGGGUGCGAGCGUUGUCCGGAAUUAUUGAGCGUAAAGGGCUCGUAGGCGGUUUGUCGCGUCGGGAGUGAAAACACUGGGCUUAACUCAGUGCUUGCUUCCGAUACGGGCAGACUAGAGGUAUUCAGGGGAGAACGGAAUUCCUGGUGUAGCGGUGAAAUGCGCAGAUAUCAGGAGGAACACCGGUGGCGAAGGCGGUUCUCUGGGAAUUACCUGACGCUGAGGAGCGAAAGUGUGGGGAGCGAACAGGAUUAGAUACCCUGGUAGUCCACACCGUAAACGUUGGGCGCUAGGUGUGGGGUCCAUUCCACGGAUUCCGUGCCGCAGCUAACGCAUUAAGCGCCCCGCCUGGGGAGUACGGCCGCAAGGCUAAAACUCAAAGGAAUUGACGGGGGCCCGCACAAGCGGCGGAGCAUGCGGAUUAAUUCGAUGCAACGCGAAGAACCUUACCUGGGUUUGACAUACGCCGGAAAGCCGUAGAGAUACGGCCCCUUUUAGUCGGUGUACAGGUGGUGCAUGGCU